This 544-nucleotide ribosomal RNA is filed under the name Clostridioides difficile. RNAcentral describes it as "bacterial LSU rRNA". It matches the Rfam family "Bacterial large subunit ribosomal RNA", at positions 1466 to 2020 of the family's 2925-position model. The record is from RNAcentral. Lineage: Bacteria; Bacillati; Bacillota; Clostridia; Peptostreptococcales; Peptostreptococcaceae.
GGGAUGACACAGUAGGAUAAGCUAAGCACACUGUUGGUUAUGUGUGCCCAAGCAUUGAGGCAGUCAAAGUAGGCAAAUCCGCUUUGAUAAUGCUGGGAUGUGAUGGGGAGCGAAAUUUAGUAGCGAAGUAGCUGAUUUCACACUGUCAAGAAAAGUCUCUAUCGAGGUUAAAGGUACCCGUACCGCAAACCGACACAGGUGGGUGAGGAGAGUAUCCUAAGGCCAGCGAGAGAACUGUUGUUAAGGAACUCGGCAAAAUGACCCCGUAACUUAGGGAUAAGGGGUGCCACCAUCAGGUGGCCGCAGAGAAUAGGCCCAAGCGACUGUUUACCAAAAACAUAGGUUUCUGCUAAGUCGCAAGACGAUGUAUAGGAGCUGACGCCUGCCCGGUGCUGGAAGGUUAAGGGGAUCUGUUAGAGUAAUCGAAGCAGUGAACUUAAGCCCCAGUAAACGGCGGCCGUAACUAUAACGGUCCUAAGGUAGCGAAAUUCCUUGUCGGGUAAGUUCCGACCCGCACGAAAGGCGUAACGAUUUGGGCACUGUC